This 78-nucleotide transfer RNA is filed under the name Pseudoprevotella muciniphila. Its description in RNAcentral is "Alloprevotella sp. E39 tRNA-Arg". It matches the Rfam family "tRNA". Rfam says of the family: Transfer RNA (tRNA) molecules are approximately 80 nucleotides in length. Their secondary structure includes four short double-helical elements and three loops (D, anti-codon, and T loops). The record is from RNAcentral. Lineage: Bacteria; Pseudomonadati; Bacteroidota; Bacteroidia; Bacteroidales; Prevotellaceae.
GGUCCGGUAGCUCAGUUGGAUUAGAGCAACAGCCUUCUAAGCUGUGGGUCUUGGGUUCGAAUCCCAACCGGAUCACAA